This 406-nucleotide ribosomal RNA is filed under the name uncultured bacterium. RNAcentral's name for it is "partial 16S ribosomal RNA". It matches the Rfam family "Bacterial small subunit ribosomal RNA", at positions 29 to 526 of the family's 1533-position model. The record is from RNAcentral.
AUUGAACGCUGGCGGCAGGCCUAACACAUGCAAGUCGAACGAGUGGCGGACGGGUGAGUAAUGUCUGGGACACUGCCUGAUGGAGGGGGAUAACUACUGGAAAGGGUAGCUAAUACCGUAUACUAUCGGCUGUGCACAUAUGGGAUUAGCUAGUAGGUGGGGUAAGGGCUCACCUAGGCGACGAUCCCUAGAGGGUCUGAGAGGAGGACCAGCCAAACGGGAACUGUGACACGGUCCAGACUCCGACGCGAGGCAGCAGGGGGGAAUAUGGCACAAUGGGCGCAAGCCUGAUGCAGCCAUGCCGCGUGUAUGAAGAAGGCCUUCGGGUUGUAAAGUACUUUCAGCGGGGAGGCGUUACGCGCAGAAGAAGCACCGGCUAACUCCGUGCCAGCAGCCGCGGUAAUUC